Molecule: ribosomal RNA, 535 nt
Filed under: Colletotrichum gloeosporioides
Lineage: Eukaryota; Fungi; Ascomycota; Sordariomycetes; Glomerellales; Glomerellaceae
Description: eukaryotic LSU rRNA
Rfam family: 5.8S ribosomal RNA (bases 161-314)
Source: RNAcentral
GCUCUACACCCUUUGUGACAUACCUACAACUGUUGCUUCGGCGGGUAGGGUCUCCGCGACCCUCCCGGCCUCCCGCCUCCGGGCGGGUCGGCGCCCGCCGGAGGAUAACCAAACUCUGAUUUAACGACGUUUCUUCUGAGUGGUACAAGCAAAUAAUCAAAACUUUUAACAACGGAUCUCUUGGUUCUGGCAUCGAUGAAGAACGCAGCGAAAUGCGAUAAGUAAUGUGAAUUGCAGAAUUCAGUGAAUCAUCGAAUCUUUGAACGCACAUUGCGCCCGCCAGCAUUCUGGCGGGCAUGCCUGUUCGAGCGUCAUUUCAACCCUCAAGCUCUGCUUGGUGUUGGGGCCCUACAGCCGAUGUAGGCCCUCAAAGGUAGUGGCGGACCCUCCCGGAGCCUCCUUUGCGUAGUAACUUUACGUCUCGCACUGGGAUCCGGAGGGACUCUUGCCGUAAAACCCCCCCAAUUUUCCAAAGGUUGACCUCGGAUCAGGUAGGAAUACCCGCUGAACUUAAGCAUAUCAAUAAGCGGAGGAA